Molecule: long non-coding RNA, 1289 nt
Organism: Culex pipiens pallens (northern house mosquito)
Lineage: Eukaryota; Metazoa; Arthropoda; Insecta; Diptera; Culicidae
Exons: 3
Source: RefSeq, a predicted model, not a curated record
ACAUUUAAACAUUUAAACAAAAAAUAUUAAGGAUCACAAAACGAACACACCAUGACACCUAAACUGGGCGACGCUCCCCUAACGAAUGCACCAUGACACCUAAACUGGGCGACGCUCCCCUAACGAAAGCACCAUGGUUGAUCGAGCUGUCAUUUUGUUUUCAAAUUUUGUUUUCAUCCGCGCGCGUGUUCGAUCUUGUUCGUUUCGUUUGUGUUUGGCGUAGUUCAAAUCGAAAAUUGUUAAGUCGACUCGCGUGUGCUCGUGGAGAAACAACAUCCGGCGUUCGUGCAGCAUGGUUCUGUUGGACUAAUCCGCCGGGUGACCGAACCGGAACGGCGGGAUGAGAGAAUUUUCGGAUAUUUGAGGAUUCUCCCACCAGGUUCGCUGACGGGACACAACCCAACGAAAGCGUUCGAAUGGGAGAGGACCCGACGCCUGCUGCGGAAACUUCCGGCCGUGUUUGUUUCUGAUGGUGAGCUCGUCUCGGCUGGAGGCGAAAAUCGUUAGGGGCUUAUUUCACUAAGGAUUGUGCUUUUUGAUUACUCGAAUGUUUAUCCCAAUUACGAAGCAGUUGAUCCGGAACCGGCUACGAACAUUCCGAAUAAUUUCAAACAGUGCGGAUUGAAGCGGAAUAACAAAAGAAAACGACACGGAAAGUUAGUGCUAAAUAAAGUAAAACAAAAAUAAAAAAACGAUAAAAAUACACUCAAACUUACUGAAUUACCAUUAAUUUCAAUGUAUAAAUAUUUGUUUUAUAGUACAAUUUAGUGGGGCCCGCAUAAAGAUUUCUGAUGAACUUACAGUAAAUUUUAACGUUACAAAACGAUAAAAUAUAUUGUUUUUUUGACAGUGUUUUAACAGUAGACAGCAUCGUUUUUUAAGAUAAUUUGCGUCGUAUUUUGGGAUUUUACCAUAAAAAAGGGGGGUUGUUAUGCACCGGUACCAUAAAAAUUUCAAAAUUUUUCCAUACAUUUUUUUUCCAAAUACGACGCAUUUUACUGUUAAUCUAAUGUUGCAUUUUUCAUCCAAAAACUCGUCCUGACUAUAGAAAACAUCAUACAUUAAUAAUAAAAACAGCAAGCAUUACAAUGCAUUGCACAGUCAAUUUACAGUUCUUCAUGGUUUUUUAUCUACUAAAUGAUGCGGUAAAAACUAUAUGCGGACAAUAAAACUAAUAAGCAUUACAAUGAAUUACACAGUAAAAUUAUAAUUCUUUAUGGUUUAUUCCCCACUAAAUGCUACUGUGAAAACUAUUUUCGGACAUUAAAAUAUAUAGUAAAUAAAGUAAA